Molecule: ribosomal RNA, 1340 nt
Filed under: uncultured Clostridiaceae bacterium
Lineage: Bacteria; Bacillati; Bacillota; Clostridia; Eubacteriales; Clostridiaceae
Description: bacterial SSU rRNA
Rfam family: Bacterial small subunit ribosomal RNA
Source: RNAcentral
GAUAAACGCUGGCGGCGCACAUAAGACAUGCAAGUCGAACGGACUUAAUUAGUAGCUUGCUACUAAAGCGGUUAGUGGCGGACUGGUGAGUAACACGUAAGUAAUCUGGCUAUUAGAGGGGAAUAACAAUGAGAAAUCAUUGCUAAUACCGCAUAUGCACACGUUAUCGCAUGGUAGAGUGUGGAAAGGAGUAAUCCACUAAUAGAUGAGCUUGCGGCUGAUUAGCUAGUAGGUUAGGUAAUGGCUGACCUAGGCAACGAUCAGUAGCCGGGCUGAGAGGCUCUACGGCCACAUUGGGACUGAGAUACGGCCCAGACUCCUACGGGAGGCAGCAGUCGGGAAUAUUGCGCAAUGGAGGAAACUCUGACGCAGUGACGCCGCGUAUGGGAAGAAGGUUUUCGGAUUGUAAACCAUUGUCGUGAGGGAAGAAAAAGACAGUACCUCAGGAGGAAGCUCCGGCUAACUAUGUGCCAGCAGCCGCGGUAAUACAUAGGGAGCAAGCGUUAUCCGGAUUUAUUGGGUGUAAAGGGUGCGUAGACGGGAUAUCAAGUUAGUUGUGAAAUCCCCAGGCUUAACCUGGGAACUGCAACUAAAACUGGUAUUCUUGAGUAUUGGAGGGGAAAGUGGAAUUCCUAGUGUAGCGGUGAAAUGCGUAGAUAUUAGGAGGAACACCGGCGGCGAAGGCGACUUUCUGGACAAAUACUGACGUUGAGGCACGAAAGUGUGGGGAGCAAACAGGAUUAGAUACCCUGGUAGUCCACACUGUAAACGAUGGAUACUAGGUGUUGGUUAUGAUAAAUAAUCAGUGCCGUCGCAAACGCAAUAAGUAUCCCACCUGGGGAGUACGACCGCAAGGUUGAAACUCAAAGGAAUUGACGGGGGCCCGCACAAGCAGUGGAGUAUGUGGUUUAAUUCGAAGCAACGCGAAGAACCUUACCAGGGCUUGACAUGGCACUGAAAGCUUAAGAGAUUAAGCCUCUCUUCGGAGCAGUGUCACAGGUGGUGCAUGGUUGUCGUCAGCUCGUGUCGUGAGAUGUUGGGUUAAGUCCCGCAACGAGCGCAACCCCUAUUGUUAGUUGCCAGCACGUUAAGGUGGGAACUCUAACAAGACUGCCGGUGAUAAAUCGGAGGAAGGUGGGGAUGACGUCAAAUCAUCAUGCCCUUUAUGUCCUGGGCUACACACGUACUACAAUGGCUAUAACAGAGGGAAGCAAUAUAGCAAUAUGGAGCAAAACCCUAAAUAUAGUCUCAGUUCGGAUAGAAGGCUGAAAUUCGCCUUCUUGAGGCUGGAAUUGCUAGUAAUGGCAGGUCAGCAUACUGCCGUGAAUACGUUCCCGGGC